This 506-nucleotide ribosomal RNA is filed under the name uncultured bacterium. RNAcentral's name for it is "partial 16S ribosomal RNA". It matches the Rfam family "Bacterial small subunit ribosomal RNA", at positions 28 to 523 of the family's 1533-position model. The record is from RNAcentral.
GGUGAACGUUGGCGGCGCGUCUAAUACAUGCAAGUCGAGCGAUCCCGCAAGGGAUAGCGGCGGACGGCUGAGUAACACGUAGGUAACCUGCCCUCGAGUGGUGGAUAACCUUCCGAAAGGAGGGCUAAUACAGCAUGAGCCCACGGCGUCGAAAGACGCAGGGGGAAAAGCCGGCCUCUUCAUGAAAGCUGGCGCUCGAGGAUGGGCCUGCGGCCCAUCAGCUAGUUGGUGAGGUAAUGGCUCACCAAGACAAAGACGGGUAGCUGGUCUGAGAGGAUGAUCAGCCACACUGGAACUGAGACACGGUCCAGACUCCUACGGGAGGCAGCAGUGGGGAAUCUUGCGCAAUGGGCGAAAGCCUGACGCAGCGACGCCGCGUGAGUGAUGAAGGCCUUCGGGUUGUAAAGCUCUGUGGAGGGGGACGAAUAAGGGUUGGUGAACAUCCAGCUCGAUGACGGUACCCCUUUAGCAAGCACCGGCUAACUCUGUGCCAGCCGCCGCGGUAA